UGGAAAUGUAUCUGUGGGGUAGUGGCUGGGUCAAAGGUCAGUGCUGGAGGAGGUCAUCAGGUCACGGAGAGGCUAUGACUGCAGGCUGGCUUGCGCGCCGGCCCCGGGCGAUCCAAGGCUCCUCCCUUCUCCUCACCCCUCCCCUGUCCUCAGGAUGUGGGUUCUGGCUACCGCGCCCAGCGUGGGGACCACUUUCAGGGAUGCAGCUUCGGAGAGUCAUGUGGUACUGAGAUCACCCCCGCCUCCACCACCCACCCAGGCUGGGCCUGGACCCUGCUGAGGCCUCUGGAUGAACUUGAAGACUCCGCGGGGGCGGGGGCGGAAGCGGAAACCAGCUUGUAAAUUCCUUGCGUCUUACACCUGCAGCCUACGGCCUGGGGCGCUGGCCUCUUUCCUCGGUGUCUCCCUGCCCUCCGUGUCCGUGCGGGUUUGCAAAACAACAGUACCUACGUUGUAUGGAUAAAUAUUGCCGAGUUGCCGGCUUGAGACGCCAUCCCACUGUGUCAUCAAACUUCUGACAUGCUGACUUGAGAGGGAAAGCGAGUUCUCAGCGCGCUUUUCGUCACGUCUGGUGUCUUGAAUCGGAUGGGUUGGACCUUGUCUUGGGAUCUGCGUUUUCUCCAUCUGGGUAACAAGGCUCUCGGGCCCUCUGUGCUUUGUUCCUGCUGGGCCACCUGGUGAUGUGAGCUAAGUGUGGGAGCUGAUUGACCAGCUGGGAAGUUAUUGUGAUCAAGACCUGGAAUGUUGGCGGCUUGGCCUGGGAGGUUCACGAGGGACCCAGAGAU
Molecule: non-coding RNA, 785 nt
Organism: Delphinapterus leucas (beluga whale)
Lineage: Eukaryota; Metazoa; Chordata; Mammalia; Artiodactyla; Monodontidae
Source: RefSeq, a predicted model, not a curated record